RNAcentral lists this transfer RNA (90 nucleotides) under Sphingomonas sp. Its description in RNAcentral is "tRNA-Ser". It matches the Rfam family "tRNA". From Rfam's summary of the family: Transfer RNA (tRNA) molecules are approximately 80 nucleotides in length. Their secondary structure includes four short double-helical elements and three loops (D, anti-codon, and T loops). RNAcentral also lists the same sequence under 3 other names. Lineage: Bacteria; Pseudomonadati; Pseudomonadota; Alphaproteobacteria; Sphingomonadales; Sphingomonadaceae. The record is from RNAcentral.
GGAAGAGUGUCCGAGUGGUUUAAGGAACUGGUCUUGAAAACCAGCGAGGGUGCAAGCUCUCCGUGGGUUCGAAUCCCACCUCUUCCGCCA